UUAAUUCCUAGAGAUAAAAUAUAUAUAUGUCAAAAUUACAAAAAACCCUUCUAUCAAAACCUGAUUUUUCACUUCCCCUCCUAUCAUUUAAAAACCUACACUUCGCCCUCUUGUAAAAUGAUGUGUGUGUAGUUUUAAUUUGGUGGGUGAGCAAUAUAAUUUCAUCAGCUUAAUUCCUAGAGAUAAAAUAUAUAUAUGUCAAAAUUACAAAAAACCCUUCUAUCAAAACCUGAUUUUUCACUUCCCCUCCUAUCAUUUAAAAACCUACACUUCGCCCUUUUGUAAAAUGAAAAAUAUUCAUUUCACCUCCUGCCGUUAGUGAUGCGUUAGGGUUUCGUUUAUAAAAUAUUAUUAUAUAUUUUUUUAUGCCAAAAAUGCUCUCAGUCUUCUUUUCUGUUGGCAAAAAUGGUGAGGGGCAAAAUAGUCAUUUUGUCAUCAUAGUUUACAUCGUAACCCUCUGUGACUAUUUUUCAUUUUACAAGGGGUCAAAGUGUAGGUUUUUAAAUGACGGGGGAGGAAACUGAAAAAUCGAAUUUUAACAGAAAGAUUUUAUGUAAUUUAGCCUAUAUAUAUAUUAAUAAGAAGG
This 586-nucleotide long non-coding RNA is filed under the name Ananas comosus (pineapple). RNAcentral's name for it is "long non-coding RNA (ACOM_LNC017111)". Lineage: Eukaryota; Viridiplantae; Streptophyta; Magnoliopsida; Poales; Bromeliaceae. The record is from RNAcentral.